Molecule: long non-coding RNA, 392 nt
Organism: Pseudophryne corroboree (corroboree frog)
Lineage: Eukaryota; Metazoa; Chordata; Amphibia; Anura; Myobatrachidae
Exons: 3
Source: RefSeq, a predicted model, not a curated record
AAGAGCUCCUGAAGAUUGAAGAUAGAAGAAGGUGCCGGAAGUCCUGGAGAGUGACGGCAGAUGUGAAAGAGCUGUUACAUUGUAAAACCCCACUGGUACUAGUUCCAGGGUAUUACAACAUGGCGCCGCCUGCCGGGUGAAGUACAAGGAGCCGACGGCUGUUGGUGAAGACGUCGGAAGCCCUGGGACAGCGGUGUGUGACGGAAAAGAGCUUUUGCCAGCCACCGCUGCCCAGGUGAAGACUCCAGGAAACCUGGAGGUGGUGGGAGCCAUCCUGCCUCCUUCGAAGACCACAAGGUGGGCGAGGCAGGACCAGGCUUGGUCCAGCCACAGCCCUUAGGAUGGCCAGGCCCCCCUCAUUAAAGGGAGGCUGUCGGAAGAUACGCGUUGGU